Molecule: microRNA precursor, 99 nt
Filed under: Corchorus capsularis
Lineage: Eukaryota; Viridiplantae; Streptophyta; Magnoliopsida; Malvales; Malvaceae
Description: pre miRNA mir-395
Rfam family: mir-395 microRNA precursor family
About the family: mir-395 was identified in both Arabidopsis thaliana and Oryza sativa computationally and was later experimentally verified. mir-395 is thought to target mRNAs coding for ATP sulphurylases. The mature sequence is excised from the 3' arm of the hairpin.
Source: Rfam by way of RNAcentral
GUGCCCACUGGAGUUCCCUCAGACACUUCAGUUGAUCUCUAUAGAGCUCAAAAACUCUUUGCGAUUUUCUGAAGUGUUUGGGGGAACUCUGGUUGCCAU